AGUGGGAUAGCUGGGUCAAAUGGUGGUUCCAUUCCAACUUUUCUGAGGGAUCUCCAUACUGUUUUCCAGAUUGAUUGCACCAAUUUGCAGUCCCACCAGCAAU
RNAcentral lists this microRNA precursor (103 nucleotides) under Marmota monax (woodchuck). The record is from RNAcentral. Lineage: Eukaryota; Metazoa; Chordata; Mammalia; Rodentia; Sciuridae.